This 21-nucleotide non-coding RNA is filed under the name Arabidopsis thaliana (thale cress). The record is from RNAcentral. Lineage: Eukaryota; Viridiplantae; Streptophyta; Magnoliopsida; Brassicales; Brassicaceae.
UCGUGUUUUCCGGUGUACUGC